AAAAAGACAAUCCCUGGGUUUCCGUGUCCAAUUUUAACUGUCCGUCUUAUAUAAAAUGUUUUUAUAAUUAGUAUUUUCAUUGUUGUUAGAUGAUAAAACAUGAUUAAUAUUUUAUGCGUGACUUGUCUUUUUUAAUUUUUUUCAUAAUUUUUGUAAAUAAGACGGAUGUUCAAACGUUGGGCACGGAAACCAGGGUUUGUCUUUUU
MicroRNA precursor from Oryza sativa Japonica Group (Japanese rice), 206 nucleotides. It matches the Rfam family "MIR812 microRNA precursor family". The record is from Rfam. Lineage: Eukaryota; Viridiplantae; Streptophyta; Magnoliopsida; Poales; Poaceae.